This 468-nucleotide ribosomal RNA is filed under the name uncultured bacterium. RNAcentral's name for it is "partial 16S ribosomal RNA". It matches the Rfam family "Bacterial small subunit ribosomal RNA", at positions 28 to 507 of the family's 1533-position model. The record is from RNAcentral.
GACGAACGCUGGCGGCGUGCUUAACACAUGCAAGUCGAACGGAAAGGCCCUGCUUUUGUGGGGUGCUCGAUUGGCGAACGGGUGAGUAACACGUGAGUAACCUGCCCUUGACUUUGGGAUAACUUCAGGAAACUGGGGCUAAUACCGGAUAUGAUCUCCUGCUGCAUGGUGGUGGUUGGAAAGUUUCGGCGGUUGGGGAUGGACUCGCGGCUUAUCAGCUUGUUGGUGGGGUAGUGGCGUACCAAGGCUUUGACGGGUAGCCGGCCUGAGAGGGUGACCGGCCACAUUGGGACUGCGAUACGGACCAGACUCCUACGGGAGGCAGCAGUGGGGAAUAUUGCACAAUGGGCGGAAGCCUGAUGCAGAAACGCCGCGUGCGGGAUGACGGCCUUCGGGUUGUAAACCGCUUUCGCCUGUGACGAAGCGUGAGUGACGGUAAUGGGUAAAGAAGCACCGGCUAACUACGUG